Molecule: ribosomal RNA, 196 nt
Filed under: uncultured bacterium
Lineage: Bacteria
Description: partial 16S ribosomal RNA
Rfam family: Bacterial small subunit ribosomal RNA
Source: RNAcentral
ACGCUCGACACCUACGGAGGCAGCAGUGGGGAAUAUUGGGCAAUGGGGGAAACCCUGACCCAGCAACGCCGCGUGAAGGAAGAAGGUUUUCGGAUCGUAAACUUCUAUCCUUGGUGAAAAUAGUGAUGGUAGCCAAGAAGGAAGCCCCGGCUAACUACGUGCCACAGCCGCGGUAAUCUGAGCGGGCUGGCAAGGC